CACACCGCCCGUCACACCAUGGAAGCCAGCUGUACCGGAAGUCGGUGUAUCAACCCGAAAGGGAGAAAGUCGCCCAUGGUAUGGCUGGUGACUGGGGUG
Molecule: ribosomal RNA, 99 nt
Filed under: uncultured bacterium
Lineage: Bacteria
Description: partial 16S ribosomal RNA
Rfam family: Bacterial small subunit ribosomal RNA
Source: RNAcentral